RNAcentral lists this transfer RNA (74 nucleotides) under Candidatus Jorgensenbacteria bacterium CG_4_10_14_0_8_um_filter_39_13. RNAcentral describes it as "tRNA-Glu". It matches the Rfam family "tRNA". Rfam says of the family: Transfer RNA (tRNA) molecules are approximately 80 nucleotides in length. Their secondary structure includes four short double-helical elements and three loops (D, anti-codon, and T loops). Lineage: Bacteria; Candidatus Joergenseniibacteriota. The record is from RNAcentral. RNAcentral also lists the same sequence under 4 other names.
GGCCCUAUCGUCUAGUUGGUCUAGGACGUAGCGUUCUCAGCGCUAAAACAUGGGUUCAAAUCCCAUUAGGGCUA